This 171-nucleotide small RNA is filed under the name Arthrobacter globiformis. RNAcentral's name for it is "c-di-AMP sequence". It matches the Rfam family "c-di-AMP riboswitch aptamer (ydaO/yuaA leader)". From Rfam's summary of the family: This family represents a conserved RNA structure found upstream of the ydaO and yuaA genes in Bacillus subtilis and related genes in other bacteria. RNAcentral also lists the same sequence under 1 other name. The record is from RNAcentral. Lineage: Bacteria; Bacillati; Actinomycetota; Actinomycetes; Micrococcales; Micrococcaceae.
GGGAUCCGUUCGCUAUGACCAACAGGCAGGGACGGGGGAACCACCUUUUUACCGGCCUUGCGAGUCAAGGCCUAGGGGUUAAGUCCAGAAGCUCCGCCUAGCCGCGGGCAGGACCGGGUGACUCCCAUCCGAACCCGACAGCUCACCCCGCAGGCAUGGGAGAGGCAAACC